Molecule: ribosomal RNA, 253 nt
Filed under: uncultured bacterium
Lineage: Bacteria
Description: partial 16S ribosomal RNA
Rfam family: Bacterial small subunit ribosomal RNA
Source: RNAcentral
UACAGAGGGGGCAAGCGUUGUUCGGAAUUACUGGGCGUAAAGGGCGCGUAGGCGGCCAUUUAAGUCAGACGUGAAAUCCCCGGGCUCAACCCGGGAACUGCGUCUGAUACUGGAUGGCUUGAAUCCGGGAGAGGGAUGUGGAAUUCCAGGUGUAGCGGUGAAAUGCGUAGAUAUCUGGAGGAACACCGGUGGCGAAGGCGGCAUCCUGGACCGGUAUUGACGCUGAGGCGCGAAAGCCAGGGGAGCAAACGGG